RNAcentral lists this ribosomal RNA (1540 nucleotides) under Staphylococcus aureus M0877. RNAcentral's name for it is "16S ribosomal RNA". It matches the Rfam family "Bacterial small subunit ribosomal RNA". Lineage: Bacteria; Bacillati; Bacillota; Bacilli; Caryophanales; Staphylococcaceae. The record is from RNAcentral.
AGAGUUUGAUCCUGGCUCAGGAUGAACGCUGGCGGCGUGCUUAAUACAUGCAAGUCGAGCGAACGGACGAGAAGCUUGCUUCUCUGAUGUUAGCGGCGGACGGGUGAGUAACACGUGGAUAACCUACCUAUAAGACUGGGAUAACUUCGGGAAACCGGAGCUAAUACCGGAUAAUAUUUUGAACCGCAUGGUUCAAAAGUGAAAGACGGUCUUGCUGUCACUUAUAGAUGGAUCCGCGCUGCAUUAGCUAGUUGGUAAGGUAACGGCUUACCAAGGCAACGAUGCAUAGCCGACCUGAGAGGGUGAUCGGCCACACUGGAACUGAGACACGGUCCAGACUCCUACGGGAGGCAGCAGUAGGGAAUCUUCCGCAAUGGGCGAAAGCCUGACGGAGCAACGCCGCGUGAGUGAUGAAGGUCUUCGGAUCGUAAAACUCUGUUAUUAGGGAAGAACAUAUGUGUAAGUAACUGUGCACAUCUUGACGGUACCUAAUCAGAAAGCCACGGCUAACUACGUGCCAGCAGCCGCGGUAAUACGUAGGUGGCAAGCGUUAUCCGGAAUUAUUGGGCGUAAAGCGCGCGUAGGCGGUUUUUUAAGUCUGAUGUGAAAGCCCACGGCUCAACCGUGGAGGGUCAUUGGAAACUGGAAAACUUGAGUGCAGAAGAGGAAAGUGGAAUUCCAUGUGUAGCGGUGAAAUGCGCAGAGAUAUGGAGGAACACCAGUGGCGAAGGCGACUUUCUGGUCUGUAACUGACGCUGAUGUGCGAAAGCGUGGGGAUCAAACAGGAUUAGAUACCCUGGUAGUCCACGCCGUAAACGAUGAGUGCUAAGUGUUAGGGGGUUUCCGCCCCUUAGUGCUGCAGCUAACGCAUUAAGCACUCCGCCUGGGGAGUACGACCGCAAGGUUGAAACUCAAAGGAAUUGACGGGGACCCGCACAAGCGGUGGAGCAUGUGGUUUAAUUCGAAGCAACGCGAAGAACCUUACCAAAUCUUGACAUCCUUUGACAACUCUAGAGAUAGAGCCUUCCCCUUCGGGGGACAAAGUGACAGGUGGUGCAUGGUUGUCGUCAGCUCGUGUCGUGAGAUGUUGGGUUAAGUCCCGCAACGAGCGCAACCCUUAAGCUUAGUUGCCAUCAUUAAGUUGGGCACUCUAAGUUGACUGCCGGUGACAAACCGGAGGAAGGUGGGGAUGACGUCAAAUCAUCAUGCCCCUUAUGAUUUGGGCUACACACGUGCUACAAUGGACAAUACAAAGGGCAGCGAAACCGCGAGGUCAAGCAAAUCCCAUAAAGUUGUUCUCAGUUCGGAUUGUAGUCUGCAACUCGACUACAUGAAGCUGGAAUCGCUAGUAAUCGUAGAUCAGCAUGCUACGGUGAAUACGUUCCCGGGUCUUGUACACACCGCCCGUCACACCACGAGAGUUUGUAACACCCGAAGCCGGUGGAGUAACCUUUUAGGAGCUAGCCGUCGAAGGUGGGACAAAUGAUUGGGGUGAAGUCGUAACAAGGUAGCCGUAUCGGAAGGUGCGGCUGGAUCACCU